AGAGUUUGAUCAUGGCUCAGGAUGAAUGCUGGCGGCGUGCCUAAUACAUGCAAGUCGAACGGGUUUAGACCCGUGGCGAACGGGUGAGUAACGCGUAGGUAGCUGCUCCGAAGUCGUGGAUAACCAGCCGAAAGGUUGGCUAAUACACGAUGGUUCCCGCAAGGGUAAAGAUUUAUCGCUUCGGAAGGCGCCUGCGUCCUAUCAGCUUGUUGGUGAGGUAAUGGCUCACCAAGGCUAUGACGGGUAACCGGUCUGAGAGGAUGAUCGGUCACAGUGGGACUGAGACACGGCCCACACUCCUACGGGAGGCAGCAGUAGGGAAUUGUCGGCAAUGGGCGCAAGCCUGACCGCGCGACGCCGCGUGGAGGAAGAAGGCCUUCGGGUUGUAAACUCCUUUUAUGAGGGACGAUUAUGACGGUACCUCAUGAAUAAGGACCUGCUAACUACGUGCCAGCAGCAGCGGUAAUACGUAGGGUCCAAGCAUUAUCCGGAAUUACUGGGCGUAAAGAGUACGUAGGUGUUUUAUUAAGUCGGUCGUUAAAUCUCACUGCUUAACAGUGAGGCUGCGAGCGAUACUAAUAGAAUUGAGUGUCUCAGGGGCAAGCAGAAUUCUUGGAGUAGGGGUGAAAUCCGUUGAUACCAAGAGGAAUACCAAUGGCGAAGGCAGCUUGCUAGGAGAACACUGACACUGAGGUACGAAAGCGUGGGGAGCAAAGGGGAUUAGAUACCCCCGUAGUCCACGCCGUAAACGAUGCCAACUAGCAAUUGGGAGAGUCGACCCUCUCGGUUGCGAAGCUAACGCGUCAAGUUGGCCGCCUGGGGAGUACGGUCGCAAGACUAAAACUCAAAUGAAUUGACGG
This 860-nucleotide ribosomal RNA is filed under the name uncultured bacterium. Its description in RNAcentral is "bacterial SSU rRNA". It matches the Rfam family "Bacterial small subunit ribosomal RNA", at positions 8 to 916 of the family's 1533-position model. The record is from RNAcentral.